UAGUAGAGACGGGGUUUCACCGUGUUAGCCAGGAUGGUCUCGAUCUCCUGACCUCGCGAUCCGCCCGUCUCGGCCUCCCAAAGUGCUGGGAUUACAGGCUUGAGCCGCCGCGCCCGGCCGGACCCAGUAGGAUUUGAAUGUACAGAUGGGCAGAGGGCACGUGCCCAGCCCAGGCUCUGGGCUCUUGCCACAGUGUGUGGCAACUUCCAGGGGCUUGCUUAUUGGUGCUGCACGGGGACGUCUCCUUUGUUGAGAUGUCGCCAGAGGCAGAGCAGGUGUUAAUGAAGGGGAGUGAGCAUAGGACCAGCCCAAGAGGCUGAGGCACUGGCCAAGGCUUUGGGGGCUGGAUUUGUGCCCCACCCAGCUCCUCUCUUGUGGCUAUCUCCACAGCUCUCCCUACUGACUGGGUUCCUGGCUUUGUUUUCUCAGCCAUGAUGAGGAGCAGCCCUGGGCCAGGUGCCACAGUGUGAGAGGCUCCAGGGUCAGGCUAUAGAACUACCCAAACCAGGUCUGGGGAGCUAUCUGUGGGAAAGGUCAGGGCCUGUUUUUCUCCUCGACUUGGCAGCUGCUGGCUGUUCAAGGGACCUACCUCCUUGUCCCUUCCCAGCCACAGGUCCAAGAGGCAAACAGCGAAUUCCCAUGGAGGAGAAUCACUGUACUCCAAGUGGACGUGGCCGGUAGGAAGCUUCCCUUAUGCUGCCCUUCUGGAAGGUGCCUUCCCCUGUGCUGACAUCUGCAGGAUGCGCCUUACACCCCAUUUGGAUGUCACAUCUUGAGCUGUGGGAAAGGAGGGCAGGGCUUCCCUCUCUGAGCCCCAUGCCCAGCAGGGUAAGUGUCCAGGGAGCGCCUGCUGCCUGGAUGGGCGGUUUGCGCUGCUUCUGCUAGCACAGCAGAAUCCCGUACCUGAAAGUGAAACGUCUGAAUAGGCUCGCCGUCCUGAUCGUAAGUGAACUUGCCAAGGAGUGUCCCCUCCUGCUGCAGGUCUUCAUCAAACCCCUGCAAAGAGAGUGAAGGCAAGUGUGGAGGGGCUGGAGCAGGGAGAACACCCCUCCCCACUCUAAUCCCUGCUCCUCCCAGCCAGAAGGUCAGGCACCAGCGUGGCCUAUGACAAGUCACUUAACUCUCUUGUGCCAGUUUCUGCCUCCAAAGCCUGAGGUAACACAGACUGAAACGCUGUCUCCCACCCUGGCUCCUCCUCUUCCAAAUCCACUCCCCUCCCUCCCAGUCCAAGGGUGACCCUGACUUGAUCCUCAGUAGAGAGGCCCACAGGAUCCUCCUGCAGCCCCUCUGGCCCCACCACGGGACAGAUACUCACAAAGAUGGCGAAGUCCUUGGGAGCACUGGAGAUGGUGCUGUUGGGUGACAAGGCCUUGGGCACAUGCUCUAAGGUAACGGCUGUGGGGCGGAUGCGAGCAGAGAGGCGGACCACGGCGAACCCCUGGGGCCCCUGGAAGGCCCAGCAGUUGCCUGGGUGCACAUCUGGCUGGAGGAGCAGAAAGUCAUGUCAGACAGGGCCCUGAGUCUAGCUCUUGCUGACCCCGGAUGGGACCGGCCCCCAGUGUGCUCAGAGCCCCUGCUACUGUGCUUGCCAGGUGCCCACCUGGAGGAUGACUCGGGGUGACUGGGAGUGGUACCACAGGGGGAUGCCGAAGAGGCUGAGGAGGGCCGUCUUGGUCUCGUAGGUCUCAGAACAUCGGGUGCUGAUGACGCUGGCCCCUGAGACAGGAGAGGAAGGCAGGGUGAGCUCCCACACGGCAAGAGGGCCCAGCUCAGGCCAUUGGCUGUCUCCUCGCGGAGGGCAGACGGCAGAUGCCCCAGGUCUAGUCUUUAACCCUAACCCAGAUGCCCAGAGCAGCUUUAAAGGUCAGCCUCUCCCCAGCCCAGGAUGGUGCUCGGUACGUCCCGACUUGCCUGAAUUGCCACUUGCCUUGUGGGGGUUCUAGGUUUGGGUAACCUGCUGAUCCUGAGCUUUGCUUGCUCUGCCCCACCACCAGCCUGGUAGGUGCCAGGGGACCGGCCAUUGUGGGGCCCAGGACAAGGCAAAGCGAGGAAAGCAGGGCACGUACCUCCUGACUCCAGGGCAUAGUCCGCCAGCCCAAUGCGGUCUUCACUGUAGCGCUGCAGGGCCUGCUUCACGAUGCGGUGCACCUGCUGCAAUGCGGGCACCAGGAGACGGUUGUGGCAGGGAGCAGACAUGUCCCCUGUCACCUCGCGGCCGUGGGUCAAGGACCCAUGGGCUGACCCCUUCUAGGCUUGCACUGUGCUGGUGCCCAGGCAGAUGUGGGCACACUGCCACCCACCCAUGCCAGCCCCACAGCAUGCAGAGCCUCCUGCUUGGCACUUCCAUCCUGGAACCUGCCAGGGAGCUGGCAGUGUGGGACUGUCCAGGGCUCCCAGGGAGGAGAGCUGUAGGUGGGUGUGUGGAGGGGGCAUGUGGGCCUCACCUCCUCUGUCACUCCAAUCACACCUUCUUUCUGCAGUGUCACGCCCAGGGAGGCUGCGGCUUCCCUGGCCGACUUGCCCUGCAUCUCUGCCACAUGGGUGAGGAUCUUGCUCUCCAGCUCUCGCAGCUGAGCUUGCAUCUCCUCUCUCUGAAGGAGCCCCAUGCGGCCCCCUCCGCCUCGGGCAAGGAACUGACUGAUCCAGGCUGGGAACUGAGAUUCCACCUAAAGGAACCAAAAAGGGUGUCACCCUGGGGGGCUUGCAGGGACAGCAGGAGCUGCUAUGACAGGGUCAGUGCUUAGCUGGAUAGCAGGGAUAGGGUAGGAGGGAGGCCACUGGAGGAGAGUUAUGAACGCUCUCCAUGGGCACUGACAGAAAAACAGGAAGAAUGCCUGUCAAUGAGAGCCCACAAGUGCCAAGGCCAGCGCCACAGUCUCUUGGGCAUAACAGAGGCUGCAGGGGCAAGGGGUGCCUGCUUUGCAGGCCCCAGGACACGUGGUCUCAGAGGAGGAGGAGAGGGACCAGCAGGGCCCUGGUGGUUCCCACUCACGUCGUCCCGCACGGCCUGGAUCUGCUGGGGCAGCAAGCCCACUUCAUCUGCCACUAAGCUCUGCUUCAGCGCCAGAGCCGCCAGCUCCUGCUGCAGGCCGGCCAGCUGGUCCUCCAGCCGCCUCAGCUCCUUCACAGAGCUCUCCCGGAAGGACUCCUGGGUCAUGCUGGUCCCAGAGAGAGAAGAGUAAGCCUCAGAUCUCUUUGGUGGGAGGUAAGGCCACACCGAAGAAGAAAGAGGACCCCCUAGUGGGUUCCUGUCCUGACAGCGGGUGUCCAGCACUCAUCAUGAACCUGAGAAGGGGCAAGGCCUCUCCUGGGGGUUCUGGCUGCAGAACACAGUGCAGGUGCCCAGGAACUGGCCUGCCUGUGCCAAGGAGCUAAUUCUGAGCCUGCUCCCUUUCUAAGCCCAGAGUCCAUAAUUUACUCUGCCUCAGUCUCUCACAUCUUCCACAGCAUGGACAUCUGGGGCAUGGGAAGGCGGUUAUGUGAGGCUGUAAGAAAGGAUGCUAUGUCUAUAAAUGAAUCCAGGUCCUCUCAUAGGGCCUGCCCCCCGCCCUCAGGAUCCCCCUGCUAACCUCCAUGGCACCUCAAAGACAGGCCCUGGGCAGGGGUCCUGAGCUGGGCUUCAGCCCCUCCCCACAACCCUCUGCUUGGCAAGACAAUCAGAACUCUCUGUCUGGGGCUCUGCUCCCCAGUCCUGCCUGGAGAGUGGGUGGGGCUGGGGAGGAGCAGGCCGAGGCCAGCUGGUGGUGCCCAGUACCUUUGCCACUCUGACUUCAGCUGCUGGAUGCGAGCCUCGGACUCCUGUGUAGGAAGAAGAGACAAACACAAGAAAUGCCCAGCUCAGAAACUGAUGUUCCAAGCUCAGAAAUUGGUGUUCCAGAGUAGGAUCUGCUGUCUGUUAGCGUCUUUACUUAACCACACCCCUGCCCAAGGUGUGGCUGCUGACCCUGCAGCAAAAAUCAAACUGGCCUCCUGGUCAAAGCCCUCAUGAGUCUCGUCCAUGUCUAACACACUGAGGUAUCCGUUCACCCACACUCAGCACGUGCACACCAGCAUGGCAGGCCGCUGUGCCCCGGCACACCCCAGGGAGCCCCUGCACAGCUCUCCAACUAAGGGGUCGGGUCAAACAGAGAAGUCAGAGGAGGGCACGCCCCUCCCUAUGCAACACGCAAGCAGUCCCUUUGGAAGGGCUGAGGGGUCCGAGGUGAACAUGUUGGAUGGGGCCAGGACCCGGUCACAGGCCCUGAGUGCCCAAGCCCGCUGACCUGGGAGGCCCGGACGAUCUUCUUGAAGAGGUCUUCUGAGUCUUGCUGAUGCUCUGCUCUCAGGGCAGACAGUUCUUCCUGUCAGACAGCAGUGAGAGGACAGGUCUGACAGAGUCAUGCUUAUAGGGACCCUUAUGACUAGGAAGUGGUGGAACUGGAAUUCAGACAAUGUGUUUGCUUCCAAAGCCCUGGCUGGCUCUCAGCCUUCAGGCUACAUUGCUUCUCUGAACCAUGCAAGACUCCUGCGUCAUCUCCACUGCACACCUGUGCGGUGUCAGGCACCAUGCUGGGGCCUUCUACUCACACAGCUCACUAUGGGGUGGGGGAGACAUGAUGGCCUCCAUCAAAGAGGAGGAAACUGAGGCUUAGAGAAGGUGAGGAAGCCUGGCGUGGUGGCUCAUGCCUGUAAUCCCAGGACUUUGGGAGGCCAAGGCGGGGAGAUCAAUUGAGGUCAGGAGUUCAAGACCAGCCUGGCCAACAUGGUGAAACCCUGUUUCUACUAAAAAUACAAAAAAAUUAGCUGGAUGUGGUGGUGCACGCCUGUAAUCCAGCUACUUGGGAGGCUGAGGCAGGAGAAUCACUUGAACCCGGGAGGCACAGGUUGCAGUGAAUCGAGAUCGCGCCACUACACUUCAGGCUGGGUGACAGAGUGAGACCAUGUCUCCAAAAAAAAAAAAAGAAGAAAAAGAGAAGGGGAUUAACUGCCAAAUGGCAGAGCUGUCUGAUCCCAAAUGGCACUUGUUCUCUCUCUUGCUGGCCACCUUCAGGCUUUCCUACGGGUGUCACCCACCUCCCACCCUAAGGUAUUCUGCCUCCUACCUGGAUGCGAGCAGCAGCUUCCCUGCGGAAAUCCUCCUUCAGGGCAGCUUCACGGCGGCUCACCAGCCCCUCCAGCAGUGCCAGGGUGUCCUCGUGGCUCAGGCCACCGCCACCUCCCUGGCCAGGAGCCCCUUGCCGCAGCUCUAGACGUUCCAGCCGCAUGGCCUCCUUCUGCCAGUUGGAGGAAAAUUCAGCAGCAAGAGCUUCCAGACGCCGCUCGAGAGAGUGUACUCGGGACAUAACACGCUGCUCAGCCUGGCAGGGCGGAGAGAGAGCCACUGAGUGAGGGACCCUUGGAUGACAGUGCUUCCCAAAGACCACCCCGACACAGCCAACACAGAAAGAAAGGGAAAAGAUUCCACAGAUAUUCCAGCAUAAGUCCAUGCAGGGCCAGCUGGAGCUCAUAGGCAGGGGCUGCCGACCUCUGAGCUGGGGGUGCCGGGAGCUGGGGAUCACUGGGUGCUGGUCACAGAGGAGGGUCCCUGAGGACACAGUACAGAAGUCUGAUCCCAGAGGAGGAAGGAAGGUGGGCCAGGGAGAAGGUCUGAGUGCAGCGACGGUCCAAGAGGAGGACUGGAAGCUUCAGGAUGGCUGCAGGGGGCCAUGGACCCUGCUGGCCUGAAGCUCACUCCUUCCCUGCCUCCUGCAGGGACAGGGGAGCCAGGGCUGUGAGUUCAGCCUGUGGACUCUCAAUGGCUUUCACUCUUUUCCUAGGGAACUAUGGCUAAGAGACAGAAUAAUUGGAAAAUAUGUUCUUUUUCUUCUUUAGCAGGAUGUCCCACAGAGAAAAUGGAAUAAAUGUCAUUUGGACUGAGGGUGGCAUUUGAUAGUGUGUCAUGAAUUUGAGAACGUUGUUGGCUUAACAACAAAAUCAUUGCCAAGAGAAGUGAUAAAAACUGUCAAAUAAAGGGCAGGGAGCUACUGAACAGCAGAGGUUCUGAGUUUUAGAAAUUUUGGUUUUUAAAUAGGCACUACAUUUGCGUGACUCAAAAAGCACACAAAAAGGCUGGAUAUGGUGGCUCACGCCUGUAAUCGCAGCACUUUGGGAGGCCGAGGCUGGUGGAUCACCUGAGGUCAGAAGUUCGAGACCAGCCUGGCCUAUAUGGGGAAACCCUGUCUGUACUAAAUAUACAAAAAUUAGCUGGGGAUGGUAGCAGGUCUCCUAUAAUCCCAGCUACUCAGGACGCUUGAGAAUCGCUUGAACCCGGGAGGCAGAGGUUGCAGUGAGAUGAGAUCAUGCCACUGCACUUUAGUCUGGGCAACAAGAGCAAGACUCUGUCUCAAAAAAAAAAAAAAAGCCCAUAAAAACCAGCAAAAAAUCCUCUGCCCCAUCCCCCUAGUUGCCUCACCACUAGCCUCUCCCAGACCAGGAAGCUGUUUUUAUUUUAACUUCAUGCAAAUGUUGCUAAUAUAAGAUAUAUAUAUAUAUUUUUUUUUUUUUUUACUCUUUUUUUUUACAAAAGAGAUGGCUCUGAAAUUGAACUGUAUUUAAUGUCUUUAAUGAUGAAAAAAGGAAAAGUCAUAGAUGACAUGUCAUUAUUUUGUAAAACAAUAAGAUCAUGGUCUGGUACUCACUUUGGCAGCACAUGUAAUAAAAUUGGAAAGAUCA
Long non-coding RNA from Piliocolobus tephrosceles (Ugandan red Colobus), 6690 nucleotides. RefSeq lists it as uncharacterized. The record is from RefSeq and is a predicted model, not a curated record. The transcript is spliced from 2 exons. NCBI's taxonomy places the organism in Eukaryota, Metazoa, Chordata, Mammalia, Primates, Cercopithecidae.